This 112-nucleotide ribosomal RNA is filed under the name Anolis carolinensis (green anole). The record is from RNAcentral. Lineage: Eukaryota; Metazoa; Chordata; Lepidosauria; Squamata; Anolidae.
GUUUAAGUACUCCAAAAGCACCAGAUCCCAUCUGAUCUUGGAGGCUAAGCAGAAUCAGGCCUGAUUAGUUCUUGGAUGGGAGACCACCAACAAAGACCAGGUUCAGUAGGCU